GAGGAGCCCGCGGCGGAUUAGCUUGUUGGUGGGGUAACGGCCUACCAAGGCGACGAUCCGUAGCUGGUCUGAGAGGACGAUCAGCCACACUGGGACUGAGACACGGCCCAGACUCCUACGGGAGGCAGCAGUGGGGAAUCUUGCGCAAUGGGCGAAAGCCCUGACGCAGCGACGCCGCGUGAGGGAAGAAGGCCUUCGGGUUGUAAACCUCUUUCAGGAGGGACGAAGCCACUCGGGUUAAUAGCCCAGAGGGUGACGGUACCUCCAGAAGAAGCCCCGGCUAACUACGUGCCAGCAGCCGCGGUAAUACGUAGGGGGCAAGCGUUGUCCGGAUUUAUUGGGCGUAAAGAGCGUGUAGGCGGCCAGGUAGGUCCGUUGUGAAAACUCGAGGCUCAACCUCGAGACGUCGAUGGAAACCAUCUGGCUAGAGUCCGGAAGAGGAGAGUGGAAUUCCUGGUGUAGCGGUGAAAUGCGCAGAUAUCAGGAAGAACACCCGUGGCGAAGGCGGCUCUCUGGGACGGUACUGACGCUGAGACGCGAAAGCGUGGGGAGCGAACAGGAUUAGAUACCCUGGUAGUCCACGCCGUAAACGAUGGGUGCUAGGUGU
Molecule: ribosomal RNA, 607 nt
Filed under: uncultured soil bacterium
Lineage: Bacteria
Description: bacterial SSU rRNA
Rfam family: Bacterial small subunit ribosomal RNA
Source: RNAcentral